Molecule: ribosomal RNA, 253 nt
Filed under: uncultured bacterium
Lineage: Bacteria
Description: partial 16S ribosomal RNA
Rfam family: Bacterial small subunit ribosomal RNA
Source: RNAcentral
UACGUAGGGUGCAAGCGUUGUCCGGAAUUAUUGGGCGUAAAGAGCGUGUAGGCGGCCAUACAGGUCCGUUGUGAAAACUGGAGGCUUAACCUCCAGACGUCGGUGGAAACCGCAUGGCUAGAGUCCGGAAGAGGAGAGUGGAAUUCCCGGUGUAGCGGUGAAAUGCGCAGAUAUCGGGAAGAGCACCCGUGGCGAAGGCGGCUCUCUGGGACGGUACUGACGCUGAGACGCGAAAGCGUGGGGAGCGAACAGG